UACGUAGGGUGCGAGCGUUGUCCGGAAUUAUUGGGCGUAAAGGGCUCGUAGGCGGUUUGUCGCGUCGGGAGUGAAAUCCACUGGCUUAACUGGUGGCUUGCUUUCGAUACGGGCAGACUGGAGGUAUGCAGGGGAGGACGGAAUUCCUGGUGUAGCGGUGAAAUGCGCAGAUAUCAGGAGGAACACCGGUGGCGAAGGCGGUGGUCUGGGCCGGCACUGACGCUGUAGAGCGAAAGCGUGGGGAGCGAACAGG
RNAcentral lists this ribosomal RNA (253 nucleotides) under uncultured bacterium. RNAcentral describes it as "partial 16S ribosomal RNA". It matches the Rfam family "Bacterial small subunit ribosomal RNA", at positions 524 to 776 of the family's 1533-position model. The record is from RNAcentral.